AUUGAACGCUGGCGGCAUGCCUUACACAUGCAAGUCGAACGGUAACAGGUCUUCGGAUGCUGACGAGUGGCGAACGGGUGAGUAAUACAUCCGAACGUGCCUAGUAGUGGGGGAUAACUACUCGAAAGAGUGGCUAACACCGCAUGAGAUCUACGGAUGAAAGCAGGGGAUCGCAAGACCUUGUGCUACUAGAGCGGCCGAUGGCAGAUUAGGUAGUUGGUGGGAUAAAAGCUUACCAAGCCGACGAUCUGUAGCUGGUCUGAGAGGACGAUCAGCCACACUGGGACUGAGGCACGGCCCAGACUCCUACGGGAGGCAGCAGUGGGGAAUUUUGGACAAUGGGCGCAAGCCUGAUCCAGCAAUGCCGCGUGCAGGAUGAAGGCCUUCGGGUUGUAAACUGCUUUUGUACGGAACGAAAAGCCCUGGGUUAAUACCCUGGGGUCAUGACGGUACCGUAAGAAUAAGCACCGGCUAACUACGUGCCAGCCGCCGCGGUAA
RNAcentral lists this ribosomal RNA (498 nucleotides) under uncultured bacterium. Its description in RNAcentral is "partial 16S ribosomal RNA". It matches the Rfam family "Bacterial small subunit ribosomal RNA", at positions 30 to 523 of the family's 1533-position model. The record is from RNAcentral.